UGUGUAGGCGGUCGUAUUAGUCUUUCGUUAAAGUUCACCCGGCUUAACCGGAGAAAUGCGGGAGAAACGGUACGACUAAGAGGACGCGAGAGGUAGAGGGAACUCAUGGUGUAGGGGUGAAAUCCGUUGAUAUCAUGGGGAACACCAAAUGCGAAGGCACUCUACUGGCGCGCUCCUGACGCUGAAACACGAAAGCGUGGGAAUCGAAG
This 209-nucleotide ribosomal RNA is filed under the name uncultured bacterium. RNAcentral's name for it is "partial 16S ribosomal RNA". It matches the Rfam family "Bacterial small subunit ribosomal RNA", at positions 568 to 773 of the family's 1533-position model. The record is from RNAcentral.